AACGAACGCUGGCGGCAGGCCUAACACAUGCAAGUCGAGCGAGGACUUCGGUUCUAGCGGCGGACGGGUGAGUAACGCGUGGGAAUGUGCCCUUCUCUACGGAAUAGCCCUGGGAAACUGGGAGUAAUACCGUAUACGCCCUAUUGGGGAAAGAUUUAUCGGAGAAGGAUCAGCCCGCGUUGGAUUAGGUAGUUGGUGGGGUAAUGGCCUACCAAGCCGACGAUCCAUAGCUGGUUUGAGAGGAUGAUCAGCCACACUGGGACUGAGACACGGCCCAGACUCCUCCGGGAGGCGCGGGGGGGUAAUCUAGGCCAAUGGCGCCACCCCUGAUCCACCCCUCCCGUGUGAUUAAUGAGGCCCUUAGGGUUGAAAAGCUCUUUCAGCUGGAAAUAUAAUGAGGUUACCAAAAGAAGAAGCCCCGGCUACCCCCGCC
RNAcentral lists this ribosomal RNA (433 nucleotides) under uncultured bacterium. Its description in RNAcentral is "partial 16S ribosomal RNA". It matches the Rfam family "Bacterial small subunit ribosomal RNA", at positions 29 to 507 of the family's 1533-position model. The record is from RNAcentral.